This 305-nucleotide ribosomal RNA is filed under the name uncultured bacterium. RNAcentral's name for it is "bacterial SSU rRNA". It matches the Rfam family "Bacterial small subunit ribosomal RNA", at positions 333 to 652 of the family's 1533-position model. The record is from RNAcentral.
AGGGGCCUACGGGAGGCAGCAGUGGGGAAUAUUGGGCAAUGGGCGCAAGCCUGACCCAGCAACGCCGCGUGAAGGAAGAAGGCUUUCGGGUUGUAAACUUCUUUUCUCAGGGACGAAGCAAGUGACGGUACCUGAGGAAUAAGCCACGGCUAACUACGUGCCAGCAGCCGCGGUAAUACGUAGGUGGCAAGCGUUAUCCGAAUUUACUGGGUGUAAAGGGCGUGUAGGCGGGACUGCAAGUCAAAUGUGAAAACCACGGGCUCAACCUGUGGCCUGCAUUUGAAACUGUAGUUCUUGAGUACUGG